Molecule: long non-coding RNA, 1063 nt
Filed under: Citrus sinensis (sweet orange)
Lineage: Eukaryota; Viridiplantae; Streptophyta; Magnoliopsida; Sapindales; Rutaceae
Description: long non-coding RNA (CSIN_LNC003041)
Source: RNAcentral
UGGUUAAAAAUUAUUAAAUUGAUUCAUUAUUUGGGCUUUGGAUUCAAAAAAUUACAAGGAAUGCCAUUAAAGAAAAACAUUUUCUGAUUUGCACUGUAAUUUCAACGACUCAAUUUGAAAAUUCAAAAAUCAUCUUUAUCUCUCUAUGACUGUAACAAAAAAUUUGUGUCGUCAGCCCCGAGUCGGCCACCGUUCAAGGCUGCCGGUCUUUAUUUUUUGGUCACCUUUCCAGCCGCAACAACCACCAUUCGAACCAGAAGUAACCGCCCAUCAGGCCCCAAGCGAGAACCGCCGCUGAUUAGCUGCCGAUCGGCGGGAAAAGGGUUAUAACAGCCGCGAUCGCGGCUGCAACACCCCAAAUUUUAUAACAGCGGCCAUCGCGGCUGUAAUACCCCAAAUAUUGCGAUCGCGGCUGUUCUCUUUUGAAAUUAAAUUUAAUUUCACAAUAUCUUACAAUUGAUUUCACGCGAAUUGUUUGGAUUAAGUUUGUAUUAGUAAGCCUUAUAAAUAAUUUGCAGUUAAAAUAAUUAAACUUAUUGUUGCGUAUAAUGUAUUCGACGGAAUGUGUGCGAAAGUGGGUGCGUUGUUGUCGCUUUAAUUUACUUUGGAUGAGCAAUUUUUUUUUCUUUUUUGGGGCUUGAUUUGGUCAUGGCUGGUUAGGGAAUGGAGAGAGAAGUUUGAGAAUGGUAUUAGCCUAUUAGGUCUCAUUGAAUAGGAAACUUGUAGAAAGGUUCGAGCUAAAAACCCCUCAAAAGUACAAUUGUAUCAAUUGAAAAAUUUGCAGCUUAUAACAUCCAGAUCCCUGAACUAUAAAAUAUAAUAAUUGAAACCCAAGGCUAAGUUGUUAUAUCCUUACUUUCUGCAAUAGAGAAUAAAACUCUCCACAAUUAGCCAUAACAAUUUUUUCUUCAAUGCAGAAAACGAAUCAUCUCAGCAUUAGACUGUCUCAAAUUAUACACUCUUUCAUACAUUUUAGUGUUUCAAAACAAAGCUCAAAAAGAACGAAAAAGAAGAAAAAAGAAAAGGCAAAAGCCAAGAAUCCAGCUAGGGAAAACAACUAAAG